RNAcentral lists this ribosomal RNA (400 nucleotides) under uncultured bacterium. RNAcentral's name for it is "bacterial SSU rRNA". It matches the Rfam family "Bacterial small subunit ribosomal RNA", at positions 355 to 771 of the family's 1533-position model. The record is from RNAcentral.
UGAGGAAUAUUGCUCAAUGGGCGCAAGCCUGAAGCAGCGACGCCGCGUGGGCGAUGAAGGUCUUCGGAUCGUAAAGCCCUUUUCACCGGGACGAGACAGGACGGUACCGGUGGAAUAAGUGUCGGCUAACUACGUGCCAGCAGCCGCGGUAAAACGUAGGACGCAAGCGUUAUCCGGAAUUACUGGGCGUAAAGCGCGUGUAGGCGGGUAUUUAAGUCACUGUUGAAAGCUCCUGGCUAAACUGGGAGAGGUGCGGUGAUACUGGAUACCUAGAGGGGGUCAGAGGGAUGCAGAAUUCCGGGUGUAGUGGUGAAAUGCGUAGAGAUCCGGAGGAAUACCAGAGGCGAAGGCGGCAUCCUGGGACUUACCUGACGCUGAGACGCGAAAGCAUGGGGAGCGA